Chlorocebus sabaeus (green monkey) is the source of this 83-nucleotide microRNA precursor. Lineage: Eukaryota; Metazoa; Chordata; Mammalia; Primates; Cercopithecidae. The record is from Ensembl.
UGUAUUAGGUUAGUGCAAAAGUAAUUGUGGUUUUUGCAUCAAAGUAAUGGCAAAAACCGCAAUUACUUUUGCCCAUAUUACUA